This is a non-coding RNA of Salvelinus sp. IW2-2015, 915 nucleotides long. The record is from RefSeq and is a predicted model, not a curated record. NCBI's taxonomy places the organism in Eukaryota, Metazoa, Chordata, Actinopteri, Salmoniformes, Salmonidae.
ACCAUGGUUCUACUUCCCCUCUGAAACACACUGCAGGCAGGGCAUGGUGCAAGUAACUGUUUCCCAGUCUCAAACCCUAGCCUAACCCAGCACUGAAGGAUAUACCGCUCUCCUACUAUGUUGGUUUAGCAGCAUUUCUUUGUCUGUGGAAGUGAACUUACCUAUAAUUCCAGGGAUAUCAUAUUACACUAAUUAACUGUCCUUAGCACAACUAACAAAGGCCAUUCUUGUGUGUGUGUGCACGUGGGAGCAUGCAUUUCAAGGACAUGAGUUUGUCUUGUUUGUUUACCCAUAGGCCUGUGCGUUUUAUGCAUACAUGUGAAGGACUUGUGUUUGUGUAGCCUUGUUUAUCUGUGAGGUUUUGUGUAUUUUUCCCUGUUGUAAGGGUUUCCUGACCUCAGUGCUGGUCAUGGGUGGGCUGUUCUUCCUCUGCUGCCUUGUCCUUUUCCUGGGGGUGAAAGAGCAGCGGAGUGAGUCAACGGUCAGAACAAUGGAAUUAGGGUUAGAGUGUGGUCAGUUUAGAACUGCUAGAGCAAAGCACAUGGGAGGUCAAGGUUCAGUAGAACGUGUUCAAGAAUCUAGAGCUGGGAGGUGGCUAAAUAAUGGAUAGGCUUGGAACUAAAGUAACUUAGUCACGAUGUCUUUGGGGAACUUUGCACUGUUCUGUACCUAUGCAGCUGGGCUUGGGUCCCAGUUCCAGCCCCUUCUGUCUCUGCUGGUAGGGCUGGUCUUCUUCCACCUGUACCCCAUCAACAAGGAACAACGCCUCCAGCUCCAGAGAGAGCAAGGCAGAGAAGGAGAUAGGAUCAACACGCAGUCGUCAGUCAAGACGCCAACCACCUUUUUAUUUAAUUUAGCCUUUACUUAUCUAGGCAAGUCAGUUAAGAACAAAUUCUUAUUUACAAUGCCGGCCAA